This is a long non-coding RNA of Nerophis lumbriciformis (worm pipefish), 1454 nucleotides long. RefSeq lists it as uncharacterized. Lineage: Eukaryota; Metazoa; Chordata; Actinopteri; Syngnathiformes; Syngnathidae. The record is from RefSeq and is a predicted model, not a curated record.
UCUUCAUGCUGUGCAGCUGAAGCCACAUUGUACUCUUAUGAAUAUACUACUUCAUUACAGGCUCUCGGGAUCAACCCCAUCCAUCCAUCCAUCCAUCCGAGGUCGGGUCGCGGGGGCAGUAGCCUAAGCAGAAAAGCCCAGACUUCCUUCUCCCAAGCCACUUCGUCCGGCUCCUCCCGGGGGGAUCCCGAGGCGUUCCCAGGCCAGACAUCAAUCAAUCAAUCUAUUAUUUACUUAUAUAGCCCUGAAUCACCAGUGUCUCAAAGGGCUGCACGAGCCACAACGACAUCCUCGGCUCAGAUUCCACAUCAGUGCAAGGAAAAACUCAACCCAAUGGGAUGACAAUGAGAAACCUUGGAGGGGACCGCAGAUGUGGUAAAAGAAAAAAUAUGAUGCGAUGCAUUCAAGCGCCUGUCCGAUAAUGGGAGUUAUUUGGGAUUUACAGAGAGAGAGAAGGAUGGAUCUGGCAUCUGCGCGCCGCACGCCGUGUCUGAUGUCACGCAACAUCUGCUUCCACAAGCGCACCACUUCACUCGCCAUCUGCCCCUUGUUUGCAGCAACACUGGAGUCGGCGCAGCAGCCGGGACGAGAGACGUUGUUGGAGUUGAAGCCAGAGAGAGACACACGCCCGGAGACGAACACAUAUUGCUGGAAAGCAAGCCACUCCCGGGUGUUUAUGAAAAAUAAAAGACUUGAUUCACACUGUACACCGUGCUCCCGAAGAUCUGUCGGCCAGGAGAACCCACACAAGAGGGAAACCUCCACAAUAACACAUGUUUUCAGUUAUUUCCCCUUUUUUUGUUAAGUACAUAACUCCACAUGUGUUCAUGCAUAGUUUUGAUGCCUUCAGUGACAAUCUACAAUAAAGAAAACACAUUGAAUGAGAAGGUGUGUCCAAACGUUAGGCCUGUACUGUAUAUACAUCAUAUUGAUGUAAAUACAUCAUAUCAAUGGGACUACAUAAUAUUACUGUACUUACAGUACGUCAUCAAUGUAACUACAGAAUAUAUCAUGUAACUACAUCAUUUUACUGUACUUACAGUACAUCACAUCAAUGUAUACAACAUCAUAUAAAUAAACUGCAACAAAAAACAGUGCAAUUAACAGUGCAAUACAUUUUAAAGGUGCAAUAUACACAUCACAUCUUUCAUAUAAUUGACAUUAUUACCGUUUUUCUUCAUUUUUAAAUUUUUUUUCAUAACAUGGUCACUACUAACUAUUUUAUUUUGUUAUAUUCUUAUUGUUACCGUUGUAUUUUUUAUUCUUAUUGUUACUUUUUAUUUUUAUUCUUUUUGUUAUAUUUUCCAUUUUAUUUCCAUCUAUACUUCCAUUAUUAACUUUUUUAAAUUAUUAUUAUUAUAUAUUAUCUUAAUUCUGUACACUGCUGCUGGAAUUUUAAUUUUCCCGAGGGAACUCUCCUGAAGGAAUCAAUACAGUACUAUCUAUCUAUCUAU